Molecule: ribosomal RNA, 485 nt
Filed under: uncultured bacterium
Lineage: Bacteria
Description: bacterial SSU rRNA
Rfam family: Bacterial small subunit ribosomal RNA
Source: RNAcentral
GAUGAACGCUAGCGGCAGGCUUAACACAUGCAAGUCGAGGGGUAUAGGGAGCUUGCUUCCUAGAGACCGGCGCACGGGUGCGUAACGCGUAUGCAAUCUACCUUUUGCAGAGGAUAGCCCAGAGAAAUUUGGAUUAAUACCUCAUAGUAUAGCAGUUUCGCAUGAAACCACUAUUAAAGUCACAACGGCAAAAGAUGAGCAUGCGUCCCAUUAGCUUGUUGGUAAGGUAACGGCUUACCAAGGCAACGAUGGGUAGGGGUCCUGAGAGGGAGAUCCCCCACACUGGUACUGAGACACGGACCAGACUCCUACGGGAGGCAGCAGUGAGGAAUAUUGGACAAUGGGCGCAAGCCUGAUCCAGCCAUGCCGCGUGCAGGAAGAAGGUCCUAUGGAUUGUAAACUGCUUUUAUACAGGAAGAAACACUCCCUCGUGAGGGAACUUGACGGUACUGUAUGAAUAAGGACCGGCUAACUCCGUGCCAGCA